Molecule: ribosomal RNA, 2775 nt
Filed under: Escherichia coli
Lineage: Bacteria; Pseudomonadati; Pseudomonadota; Gammaproteobacteria; Enterobacterales; Enterobacteriaceae
Description: bacterial LSU rRNA
Rfam family: Bacterial large subunit ribosomal RNA
Source: RNAcentral
AGCGUACACGGUGGAUGCCCUGGCAGUCAGAGGCGAUGAAGGACGUGCUAAUCUGCGAUAAGCGUCGGUAAGGUGAUAUGAACCGUUAUAACCGGCGAUUUCCGAAUGGGGAAACCCAGUGUGUUUCGACACACUAUCAUUAACUGAAUCCAUAGGUUAAUGAGGCGAACCGGGGGAACUGAAACAUCUAAGUACCCCGAGGAAAAGAAAUCAACCGAGAUUCCCCCAGUAGCGGCGAGCGAACGGGGAGCAGCCCAGAGCCUGAAUCAGUGUGUGUGUUAGUGGAAGCGUCUGGAAAGGCGCGCGAUACAGGGUGACAGCCCCGUACACAAAAAUGCACAUGCUGUGAGCUCGAUGAGUAGGGCGGGACACGUGGUAUCCUGUCUGAAUAUGGGGGGACCAUCCUCCAAGGCUAAAUACUCCUGACUGACCGAUAGUGAACCAGUACCGUGAGGGAAAGGCGAAAAGAACCCCGGCGAGGGGAGUGAAAAAGAACCUGAAACCGUGUACGUACAAGCAGUGGGAGCACGCUUAGGCGUGUGACUGCGUACCUUUUGUAUAAUGGGUCAGCGACUUAUAUUCUGUAGCAAGGUUAACCGAAUAGGGGAGCCGAAGGGAAACCGAGUCUUAACUGGGCGUUAAGUUGCAGGGUAUAGACCCGAAACCCGGUGAUCUAGCCAUGGGCAGGUUGAAGGUUGGGUAACACUAACUGGAGGACCGAACCGACUAAUGUUGAAAAAUUAGCGGAUGACUUGUGGCUGGGGGUGAAAGGCCAAUCAAACCGGGAGAUAGCUGGUUCUCCCCGAAAGCUAUUUAGGUAGCGCCUCGUGAAUUCAUCUCCGGGGGUAGAGCACUGUUUCGGCAAGGGGGUCAUCCCGACUUACCAACCCGAUGCAAACUGCGAAUACCGGAGAAUGUUAUCACGGGAGACACACGGCGGGUGCUAACGUCCGUCGUGAAGAGGGAAACAACCCAGACCGCCAGCUAAGGUCCCAAAGUCAUGGUUAAGUGGGAAACGAUGUGGGAAGGCCCAGACAGCCAGGAUGUUGGCUUAGAAGCAGCCAUCAUUUAAAGAAAGCGUAAUAGCUCACUGGUCGAGUCGGCCUGCGCGGAAGAUGUAACGGGGCUAAACCAUGCACCGAAGCUGCGGCAGCGACGCUUAUGCGUUGUUGGGUAGGGGAGCGUUCUGUAAGCCUGUGAAGGUGUGCUGUGAGGCAUGCUGGAGGUAUCAGAAGUGCGAAUGCUGACAUAAGUAACGAUAAAGCGGGUGAAAAGCCCGCUCGCCGGAAGACCAAGGGUUCCUGUCCAACGUUAAUCGGGGCAGGGUGAGUCGACCCCUAAGGCGAGGCCGAAAGGCGUAGUCGAUGGGAAACAGGUUAAUAUUCCUGUACUUGGUGUUACUGCGAAGGGGGGACGGAGAAGGCUAUGUUGGCCGGGCGACGGUUGUCCCGGUUUAAGCGUGUAGGCUGGUUUUCCAGGCAAAUCCGGAAAAUCAAGGCUGAGGCGUGAUGACGAGGCACUACGGUGCUGAAGCAACAAAUGCCCUGCUUCCAGGAAAAGCCUCUAAGCAUCAGGUAACAUCAAAUCGUACCCCAAACCGACACAGGUGGUCAGGUAGAGAAUACCAAGGCGCUUGAGAGAACUCGGGUGAAGGAACUAGGCAAAAUGGUGCCGUAACUUCGGGAGAAGGCACGCUGAUAUGUAGGUGAAGUCCCUUGCGGAUGGAGCUGAAAUCAGUCGAAGAUACCAGCUGGCUGCAACUGUUUAUUAAAAACACAGCACUGUGCAAACACGAAAGUGGACGUAUACGGUGUGACGCCUGCCCGGUGCCGGAAGGUUAAUUGAUGGGGUUAGCGGUAACGCGAAGCUCUUGAUCGAAGCCCCGGUAAACGGCGGCCGUAACUAUAACGGUCCUAAGGUAGCGAAAUUCCUUGUCGGGUAAGUUCCGACCUGCACGAAUGGCGUAAUGAUGGCCAGGCUGUCUCCACCCGAGACUCAGUGAAAUUGAACUCGCUGUGAAGAUGCAGUGUACCCGCGGCAAGACGGAAAGACCCCGUGAACCUUUACUAUAGCUUGACACUGAACAUUGAGCCUUGAUGUGUAGGAUAGGUGGGAGGCUUUGAAGUGUGGACGCCAGUCUGCAUGGAGCCGACCUUGAAAUACCACCCUUUAAUGUUUGAUGUUCUAACGUUGACCCGUAAUCCGGGUUGCGGACAGUGUCUGGUGGGUAGUUUGACUGGGGCGGUCUCCUCCUAAAGAGUAACGGAGGAGCACGAAGGUUGGCUAAUCCUGGUCGGACAUCAGGAGGUUAGUGCAAUGGCAUAAGCCAGCUUGACUGCGAGCGUGACGGCGCGAGCAGGUGCGAAAGCAGGUCAUAGUGAUCCGGUGGUUCUGAAUGGAAGGGCCAUCGCUCAACGGAUAAAAGGUACUCCGGGGAUAACAGGCUGAUACCGCCCAAGAGUUCAUAUCGACGGCGGUGUUUGGCACCUCGAUGUCGGCUCAUCACAUCCUGGGGCUGAAGUAGGUCCCAAGGGUAUGGCUGUUCGCCAUUUAAAGUGGUACGCGAGCUGGGUUUAGAACGUCGUGAGACAGUUCGGUCCCUAUCUGCCGUGGGCGCUGGAGAACUGAGGGGGGCUGCUCCUAGUACGAGAGGACCGGAGUGGACGCAUCACUGGUGUUCGGGUUGUCAUGCCAAUGGCACUGCCCGGUAGCUAAAUGCGGAAGAGAUAAGUGCUGAAAGCAUCUAAGCACGAAACUUGCCCCGAGAUGAGUUCU